This is a long non-coding RNA of Sander lucioperca (pikeperch), 274 nucleotides long. RefSeq lists it as uncharacterized. The transcript has 3 exons. The record is from RefSeq and is a predicted model, not a curated record. Lineage: Eukaryota; Metazoa; Chordata; Actinopteri; Perciformes; Percidae.
GAGAUCAGGUUGGGUGACACUUAAACAGAUUUCAUCACAUCAGGGAUGAUGAUAGCAGGACAUUUUGGAGAAAAUCAAUUCUGAGACACUUUCUCUAAGGUUUCACCUUUAUUAUCUGUUCAGCAGAGAGCAAACAGAAGAGCUCAUGUUUACAGACGUAUCAUUUUGAUUGUUGCAAUGACACAGUUGCUCGUGAAUAAUCUGUAGGUGUCUCCUCCAGCCCUCACAAGGUCAGCCACAGUCUGUCUCCCGUCAAACUCUUUGGGCAUACAGU